RNAcentral lists this ribosomal RNA (924 nucleotides) under Triticum aestivum (bread wheat). RNAcentral's name for it is "partial small subunit ribosomal RNA". Lineage: Eukaryota; Viridiplantae; Streptophyta; Magnoliopsida; Poales; Poaceae. The record is from RNAcentral.
AUGGCGUCUCUGCUUCUCAAAGGCGUGCACAAGCGCCUGGGCCUGCCGUCCAUCUCCAUCUCCUGCUCCUCCGCCGAGGCCACCAACAUCAUCGCCUCAACCACCACCACCAACGGCGUCGGCAGCAGCAGCGGCCGGGCCCUCGACCGCCACUCGCCCCGCCUCCGCGACCCACACCGCUCCUCCACCUCCAAGCCGCCAAGGCCAAGCACCAGCGCCAGCGCCAAAGACUCGGCGUCCUCCGGCGACUCCAAGCAGCAGCGCGGCCACGGCAACAACAAGAAGAAGAAGAACAAGAGCACCACCGCUCCUGCUGGGACUAAAUCUUCAGAGAAGAGGCUGGUAAGCCCGGCGACGUCGUCCAGGUUCCUCCUCAACUCCUCCCGGCUGCAGUCCGACGACCUCGACGUCCUCGCACUUGCCCCGCCGCCGCCGCCGUCGUUCAUCGACGUGUUCCCCGGCGGCGAAGGGAAGCCGCCGUCCUUCAUCGACGCGUUCCCCCCCGGCAACGCCUCGCUCCCUCUUUCCUUCGCGAAGGAGGCACCGUCGCCGGUACAGCAAGCAGAGACCUCCUCGUCCUCCUCCUCUGCUUCGUCGUCGUCGGAGAUCACAGCCCUCCAAGAAGAAGAGGAGCAGCAGAAGGCGGCGGUGCUGGCGCGGUCGUCCACGACCACGGAGAGAAGAACGACGCAGGUGGUGGUUUUGAGGGUGUCGCUGCACUGCAAGGGGUGCGCGGGCAAGGUGAAGAAGCACCUCGCCAAGAUGGAGGGCGUGACGUCGUUCGACAUCGACAUCCCGAGCAAGAAGGUGACGGUGGUCGGCGACGUGACGCCGCUGGGCGUGCUCACCAGCGUCUCCAAGGUCAAACCCGCGCAGUUCUGGCCGUCGCCGCCGCAACCGCCCCGCGCCUCCGCGUCCUUCUGA